CUCUAGUAUUCUUCUGAUUUUCGUAUAGUCAUAUUUCGCCUCGCUGAUCUGCUAAUUCAAUCUUCAACCUUUGUUCAAUCAAAUCCGAAAUGGAGGGAGAAAAAGAUGAGAGAGAAAGAUUUAAGCAAGUAUAUCAACAACUGAAGACGGAAUUGCUAAAAGAUCCUGCUUUUGAGUAUGACCAUGUCUCCCGUCAAUGGCUUCAUCAGAUGCUGGAUUAUAACGUUCCUGGAGGAAAAUUGAAUCGGGGGUUGUCUCUAAUUAAAAGCUAUGAAUUAUUAAAUGACGGGAAACAAAUCCCAGAAGAUGGCCUUUUCCGUGCUUCUGUUCUUGGCUGGUGCAUUCAAUGGGUAUGCCAUUUUUUUUUUAUUCACUCAAUCAACGGGUCCGUUUGGUAUUACUAUAGUUUUCUGUUUUCGGAAGUCAUACGAUAUAAUAUACGGAGUACUUUGUAAAAAAUUAAAAAUUAGUCAAACCUAACGAAAUUAACAUUUGACAAUUGUUCAGAAAACUAAAAAAAAAAUAAAACGACAACGAACAAGACACUCCCAUUUCUGGUUUUAUGAUUUCAGAGAACCUCUGCUACAAAUGAUCAUUACUGGAAACGUAAAAACGACAACGAGUGGUCAAGUAUCUAAAAAUCAUUUUCCUGCUUUGUUUUAUUAAAACACUUAACAUCCUUCACUAUUAUAUAAUAUCAUAUUAGCAAGCUAAAAUAAAAAAAUUAAACUUAUAGCCUAUCAAUAAUUUACAAUUACCAAUACUAAACAAGUCAUUUUGAUAAAUCAUACUUCUUAUAUCAAAGUGAGAAUCAUAGUCAGGAGAUCAUCCUCUUGUUAUGAUUUUAUGUAUAGUAUUCAACUAUAAUUAGUCAAAUAAAGUAUACAUACUUUUUGUAAGAACCAGUAAACAUAGUUAUACAGCUAAUACAAUUUUACAAGGAUCAAAAGACAAACCAAGUUAAAAAUAAUUAAUAUUACCUUAAUCCAUUUAUAACAAACAGCUUGUGGGCAUGUAACAAACUUUUCUUCAUCAUUCCACCCAAAACCACUUGCACUUGGGCUAAGCAUCUCCGUGAUAGCAUCAAAUUGUUUCUUUAGAUGCUUCACUCUUGAUUCAAUAUGAGGCUUGGCUUUUUUCCACAUCCAGGCAAUUUUUGUAGCAUUAUAGCUUCUAACUUAGCAUAAGCGCCACUCUUAAAAUUGACCAUUAUCCGCUUUCCAACCACCAAUAUCCCAAAGUUGGCCUCAAUAAGUGCACGAUCCUAUUGACCAUCUUGACAGUAAUCUAGUAGUAUUGCUACUACUACCACCUUGCGUAGAAUUUCCUUUUUGAGUAGAAGGUUGACUAAUCUGUAAAAUGCAACAAAUAGAGUACAUAAUACUACUGUCUAUGGAAAUAUUGUAUACUUCAAUUUAAUAACAUCACAAGUGUGUCCAAAACAAAGCAUUACAUAAGUCAAAACAUUGUCAUUACAUAAGCCAAAACAUUGUCAUUACAUAAGCCAAAACAAACCAUUCAAUACUUAAUAUCAUGCAUUACAAGUAAAAAUGCUCAGGAGAAAAGAAUUUUUUAACUAGAAUUAGUCAAGUGUUUCUGCUUUGAAUCCAUGCAUUAUACAUGUCAUUUGCUAGUUCCUGUCUAAAAGCAUUCCACAUUCCACUUGUUUCCAUAAUUUCAAUAUUAUCACCAUCAUCUUCUAUGUUAUCUUCAAGUAGAGACUCCAUAGGAUCAAUAGACAUAUAAGUGCGAAUGAAGUUAUGCACAAGAGCACAAGCCAAGAUAAUUCGACUGACGGUCUUUCGAGGAUACCAAGUUUUUUGUCUUAGGAUACCCCAUCUCAUGUUUAGUAAUCCAAAGCAUCUCUCUAUGACGUUCCUUGCCUGAGAAUGCUUCAUGUUGAAAUAUUCACCUGCUGACACAGGAAGAGCACCACUUUUCCAAAUGCUCAAGUGGUACCUUUGGCCUCUAAAUGGUGUUAAAAAACCCUCACAAUUCAUGCACUCAGCAUCACAUAAAUAAUAAUUAACCUAAUACCAAACAAUAAAAGCUAUAAUCAUUUCUAUUUCAUAGAGUUGUUAUAUGAUGUAUAGAAAAAAUAACUAACUCUAUAACCUUGAGGACUUUUAAUGGACUUUGUCUAGACAAGGCAUCAUGUAGUACUCUAUUAUCAUGUGCCGAACCCUCCCAACUAGGUAAUAAAUAUAUAAAUUGCAUAUCCCGCGUACAAGCAGCGAAGACAUUGGUAGUAAGAUCUCCUUUUCUGUUUCUGAACCUAACUUUGUCCUUAUCACCUACACGAACCUUAAAGUGUGUGCCAUCCAAAGCACCUAAGCAAUUCUACAAAGAAAAAAAAAUCCCAUUUAUCACUAAACCAAAUCUUCAAACAUAUAUUAAUAUUUAAUUUGCAUAGCAAAGAUCACUUACUUUAAACCACUUCCACCUAUCAUCUUGACAAUUUUUAGUCACUGCUGUAGGUUUUUUUGAACAAGAUAUGAUGACAUCUAAGGAGAGCUUGUAAUACUAAAUUGAAAUGCCUUGAAACAGUCUCACCACUUAUUCUAAAGUGUUACCGAAUUCUUCGAUUUUUGUAUCAUGAGAAAGUGUAAAGAGAAAUAAAGCCACCAUUUCAUCCAAACUAGUGUUCCUAUUUCCUUGCAACUUGCCAACAUCCCUAAGCAUCUCACAUAACUUAUAAAAACAAGCCCUAUCCAUUCUAAGGUUAUCCAAACAUGCUAUGUCACUCCCUUGGAUCAUAGGUCUAACAUUUAAAAUUCUAGCGGUUAUCCGGUUUUCAAGUGUAUCAUCAAACACAAAAGAUAUUGGCUUAGGAACUUUAAUAUUUGUAAUGGAAAGAAGAUACAUGAGUUGAAGUAAUGUAGCCAUAAUCAUGACCAUAAUCUGCCUAUAUAUCACAAUACAAGUCAUUGCAAUCUUCUUUUGUUUACUUAAAGGGAUGCGAGCCAUCACUGUAUUGCAAAAAAAAAAAAAAAAUUACAAACUCAAAGAUUAUGAUCAAAGAUGCAAAUAUCUAGUAAAUCAAUAGAUACUACACUAGCUAUAUAAAACAAUAUGAAUUUAACAGAGGCUACUAUCAUUCCAUAGGCCACACAAUUAAAAAUAAACAAGCACUUACAAAUUAUAUAAUUAAGCACCAUUUGUUUCUACUAAGAAAUAGAUACAAACAUGACCAUGAUUCUAAUUAAAUGCAUCACCAUAAACCUUGCAUAUAAGGUGUUUAAUAACAUUAGAAAGAAAAGCUGACUAGUCUAGCAAGCUCCAUAAUACCUCAACAAUAAUAAUCAAACCAAAUAGGUAUUGAUUAGGGGAUUUUUAUCCACCAAGCGCC
Chenopodium quinoa (quinoa) is the source of this 3349-nucleotide long non-coding RNA. RefSeq lists it as uncharacterized. The record is from RefSeq and is a predicted model, not a curated record. The transcript has 3 exons. Lineage: Eukaryota; Viridiplantae; Streptophyta; Magnoliopsida; Caryophyllales; Amaranthaceae.